RNAcentral lists this ribosomal RNA (696 nucleotides) under uncultured bacterium. Its description in RNAcentral is "bacterial SSU rRNA". It matches the Rfam family "Bacterial small subunit ribosomal RNA", at positions 32 to 715 of the family's 1533-position model. The record is from RNAcentral.
AACGCUAGCUACAGGCUUAACACAUGCAAGUCGCGGGGCAUCAUGAGGUUUGCUUGCAGACCUUGAUGGCGACCGGCGCACGGGUGAGUAACGCGUAUCCAACCUUCCCCUUACUCGGGUAUAGCCCUCCGAAAGGAGGAUUAAUCCCCGAUGUUGCCGUCAGAAGGCAUCUAACAACGGCCAAAGGAGCAAUCCGGUAAGGGAUGGGGAUGCGUCCGAUUAGGAAGCAGGCGGGGUAACGGCCCACCUGUCCUGCGAUCGGUAGGGGUUCUGAGAGGAAGGUCCCCCACACUGGAACUGAGACACGGUCCAGACUCCUACGGGAGGCAGCAGUGAGGAAUAUUGGUCAAUGGGCGCGAGCCUGAACCAGCCAAGUAGCGUGCAGGAUGACGGCCCUACGGGUUGUAAACUGCUUUUAUGCGGGGAUAAACGGCGCCACGUGUGGUGUUUUGCAGGUACCGCAUGAAUAAGGACCGGCUAAUUCCGUGCCAGCAGCCGCGGUAAUACGGAAGGUCCGGGCGUUAUCCGGAUUUAUUGGGUUUAAAGGGAGCGUAGGCCGCAUUUUAAGCGUGCCGUGAAAUGCCGUGGCUCAACCAUGGCACUGCGGCGCGAACUGGAGUGCUUGAGUGCGCGGGACGUAUGCGGAAUUCGUGGUGUAGCGGUGAAAUGCUUAGAUAUCACGAAGAACUCCGAUUG